CCUACGGGAGGCAGCAGUGGGGAAUAUUGGACAAUGGGCGAAAGCCUGAUCCAGCCAUGCCGCGUGUGUGAAGAAGGCCUUCGGGUUGUAAAGCACUUUCAGUGGGGAAGAAAGCCUUGGGGCUAAUACCCUCGAGGAAGGACAUCACCCACAGAAGAAGCACCGGCUAACUCCGUGCCAGCAGCCGCGGUAAUACGGAGGGUGCGAGCGUUAAUCGGAAUUACUGGGCGUAAAGCGCGCGUAGGCGGUCUGAUAAGCCGGUUGUGAAAGCCCCGGGCUCAACCUGGGAACGGCAUCCGGAACUGUCAGGCUAGAGUGCAGGAGAGGAAGGUAGAAUUCCCGGUGUAGCAGUGAAAUGCGUAGAGAUCGGGAGGAAUACCAGUGGCGAAGGCGGCCUUCUGGACUGACACUGACGCUGAGGUGCGAAAGCGUGGGUAGCAAACAGGAUUAGAUACCCCAGUAGUC
Molecule: ribosomal RNA, 465 nt
Filed under: Vreelandella stevensii
Lineage: Bacteria; Pseudomonadati; Pseudomonadota; Gammaproteobacteria; Oceanospirillales; Halomonadaceae
Description: partial 16S ribosomal RNA
Rfam family: Bacterial small subunit ribosomal RNA
Source: RNAcentral